RNAcentral lists this ribosomal RNA (484 nucleotides) under uncultured bacterium. RNAcentral describes it as "partial 16S ribosomal RNA". It matches the Rfam family "Bacterial small subunit ribosomal RNA", at positions 30 to 507 of the family's 1533-position model. The record is from RNAcentral.
AUUGAACGCUGGCGGCAGGCCUAACACAUGCAAGUCGAGCGGAUGAAGGGAGCUUGCUCCUGGAUUCAGCGGCGGACGGGUGAGUAAUGCCUAGGAAUCUGCCUGGUAGUGGGGGAUAACGUCCGGAAACGGGCGCUAAUACCGCAUACGUCCUGAGGGAGAAAGUGGGGGAUCUUCGGACCUCACGCUAUCAGAUGAGCCUAGGUCGGAUUAGCUAGUUGGUGGGGUAAAGGCCUACCAAGGCGACGAUCCGUAACUGGUCUGAGAGGAUGAUCAGUCACACGGGAACUGAGACACGGUCCAGACUCCUACGGGAGGCAGCAGUGGGGAAUAUUGGACAAUGGGCGAAAGCCUGAUCCAGCCAUGCCGCGUGUGUGAAGAAGGGCUUCGGAUUGUAAAGCACUUUAAGUUGGGAGGAAGGGCAGUAAGUUAAUACCUUGCUGUUUUGACGUUACCAACAGAAUAAGCACCGGCUAACUUCGUG